GUGGWAUAGACGACCCACAGAGGUUUUGACGGGUAACGGGGAAUUAGGGUUCGAUUCCGGAGAGGGAGCCUGAGAAACGGCUACCACUUAUACGGAAGGCAGCAGGUGCGCAAAUUACCCCCUGGUCGUAGUCUUAGGUAGUGACGAAAAAUAACGAUACCGGACUCAUCCGAGGCCCGGUAAUCGGAA
This 189-nucleotide ribosomal RNA is filed under the name Paeon environmental sample. Its description in RNAcentral is "partial 18S ribosomal RNA". It matches the Rfam family "Eukaryotic small subunit ribosomal RNA", at positions 330 to 516 of the family's 1831-position model. Lineage: Eukaryota; Metazoa; Arthropoda; Copepoda; Siphonostomatoida; Sphyriidae. The record is from RNAcentral.